UAAUACCGGCAGCUCAAGUGGUAGCCGCGAUUAUUGGGCCUAAAACGUUCGUAGCCGGAUAAGUAAGUCUUUGGUUAAAUCCUGCGACUCAACCGUGGGAAUUCUAGAGAUACUGCUUGUCUUGAGACCGGGAGAGGUUGGAGGUACUCCUAGGGUAGGGGUGAAAUCCUGUAAUCCUAGGGGGACCACCUGUGGCGAAGGCGUCCAACUGGAACGGGUCUGACGGUGAGGGACGAAACCUAGGGGAGCGAGCCGG
RNAcentral lists this ribosomal RNA (256 nucleotides) under uncultured bacterium. RNAcentral's name for it is "partial 16S ribosomal RNA". It matches the Rfam family "Archaeal small subunit ribosomal RNA", at positions 471 to 727 of the family's 1478-position model. The record is from RNAcentral.